Molecule: transfer RNA, 84 nt
Filed under: Kolteria novifilia
Lineage: Bacteria; Pseudomonadati; Planctomycetota; Planctomycetia; Kolteriales; Kolteriaceae
Description: Planctomycetes bacterium Pan216 tRNA-Leu
Rfam family: tRNA
About the family: Transfer RNA (tRNA) molecules are approximately 80 nucleotides in length. Their secondary structure includes four short double-helical elements and three loops (D, anti-codon, and T loops).
Source: RNAcentral
GCCGAAGUGGCGGAAUGGCAGACGCGCUGGAUUCAAAAUCCAGUUCAGGCAACUGAGUGUGGGUUCGAGUCCCACCUUCGGCAC